Molecule: ribosomal RNA, 335 nt
Filed under: uncultured Bacillota bacterium
Lineage: Bacteria; Bacillati; Bacillota
Description: bacterial SSU rRNA
Rfam family: Bacterial small subunit ribosomal RNA
Source: RNAcentral
GACGAACGCUGGCGGCGUGCCUAAUACAUGCAAGUCGAGCGAACUUGCGGGAGCUUGCUCCCAAAAGUUAGCGGCGGACGGGUGAGUAACACGUGGGCAACCUGCCUAUAAGACUGGGAUAACUUCGGGAAACCGGAGCUAAAUACCGGGAUAAUUCUUUUCCUCUCAUGAGGAAAAGCUGAAAGACGGUUUCGGCUGUCACUUAUAGAUGGGCCCGCGGCGCAUUAGCUAGUUGGUGAGGUAACGGCUCACCAAGGCAACGAUGCGUAGCCGACCUGAGAGGGUGAUCGGCCACACUGGGACUGAGACACGGCCCAGACUCCUACGGGUGGCUG